GCACUCCCGGGGCGUUUCAUUCUCAUUGCGAGUCGAGACGCACCAGGAGCGCACACGCUGGUACCCGAAAGAUGGUGAACUAUGCCUGGCCAGGACGAAGCCAGGGGAAACCCUGGUGGAGGUCCGAAGCGAUUCUGACGUGCAAAUCGAUCGUCUGAGCUGGGUAUAGGGGCGAAAGACCAAUCGAACCAUCUAGUAGCUGGUUCCCUCCGAAGUUUCCCUCAGGAUAGCUGGCUCUCGGGAAGAGACGAGUCUCAUCCGGUAGAGCGAAUGAUUAGAGGUGAUGGGGUCGAAACGACUUCAACCUAUUCUCAAACUCCCAAUAGAUGAGAGCCCCGGCUUGCUUGAAAGUGAAGCCGCGGGACUCGGAUCAGAGGUGCCAAGUGGGCCAAUUUUGGUAAGCAGAACUGGCGCUGUGGGAUGAACCAAACGCAGAGUUAAGGCGCCUGAUUCGACGCUCAUCUGAAACCAUGAAAGGCGUUGGUUGCUUAAGACAGCAG
Molecule: ribosomal RNA, 500 nt
Filed under: Coriomeris scabricornis
Lineage: Eukaryota; Metazoa; Arthropoda; Insecta; Hemiptera; Coreidae
Description: partial large subunit ribosomal RNA
Rfam family: Eukaryotic large subunit ribosomal RNA
Source: RNAcentral